CCUACGGGAGGCAGCAGUGGGGAAUAUUGGGCAAUGGGCGCAAGCCUGACCCAGCAACGCCGCGUGAAGGAAGAAGGCUUUCGGGUUGUAAACUUCUUUUCUCAGGGACGAAGAAAGUGACGGUACCUCAGGAAUAAGCCACGGCUAACUACGUGCCAGCAGCCGCGGUAAUACGUAGGUGGCAAGCGUUAUCCGGAUUUAGUGGGUGUAAAGGGCGUGUAGGCGGGAAAGCAAGUCAGAUGUGAAAACCCCGGGCUCAACCCUGGGCCUGCAUUUGAAACUGUUUUUCUUGAGUGCUGUAGAGGCAAGUGGAAUUCCGGGUGUAGCGGUGAAAUGCGUAGAGAUACGGAGGAAUACCAGUGGCGAAGGCGGAUUGCUGGACAGUAACUGACGCUGAGGCGCGAAAGCGUGGGGAGCAAACAGGAUUAGAUACUCCUGUAGUC
This 443-nucleotide ribosomal RNA is filed under the name uncultured bacterium. Its description in RNAcentral is "partial 16S ribosomal RNA". It matches the Rfam family "Bacterial small subunit ribosomal RNA", at positions 338 to 795 of the family's 1533-position model. The record is from RNAcentral.